This 485-nucleotide ribosomal RNA is filed under the name uncultured bacterium. Its description in RNAcentral is "bacterial SSU rRNA". It matches the Rfam family "Bacterial small subunit ribosomal RNA", at positions 29 to 523 of the family's 1533-position model. The record is from RNAcentral.
AAUGAACGUUGGCGGCGUGGAUUAGGCAUGCAAGUCGUGCGGAAAGGCUCCUUCGGGAGUACUCGAGCGGCGAAAGGGAGAGUAACGCGUGGAUAUCUACCCUCGGAUCUGGGAUAGCGAUGGGAAACUGCCGGUAAUACCAGAUAACGUCUCCGGACCAAAGGUGUGAUUCCGUCUGAGGAUGAGUCCGCGUCCUAUUAGCUUGUUGGUGGGGUAACGGCCUACCAAGGCUGUGAUGGGUACCGGGUGUGAGAGCAUGGCCCGGCUCACUGGGACUGAGACACUGCCCAGACACCUACGGGUGGCUGCAGUCGAGAAUCUUCGGCAAUGGGCGCAAGCCUGACCGAGCGACGCCGCGUGCGGGAUGAAGGCCCUCGGGUUGUAAACCGCUGUCAGAGGGGAGGAAAUGCAUGAGGGUUUCUCUCUCAUGUUUGACCUAUCCUCAGAGGAAGUACGGGCUAAGUUCGUGCCAGCCGCCGCGGUAA